CUUGAUCUGGCGGUGAACAACUAAAGUAGCUAGGGUUGGAAAUUGGCAACACAAUAUAAAGGGAUGGAAGGCCAGGAUAAGUGUUCAUAGCUGCUUCGGUAGCCGCUUGUAAGUUAACACAUAUGGGAGGAAAUGGAGAGGGAGUAGGAUUUUCGGAAGGUUAUCGGGUGGGUGAGCGGGGAAGAUAACUUUGGUUUUUGAGAUAUUACUUGUUAUUUUCCCUACUCCACCCAUCCCAUAGGUUUCCGAUCAUUCCUCCCUCUCCUCAUCACUCUGCUUCUCAUGGCCUGGUUAUCUGGAUUCUGGAUGUAGUCUAUCUCAUCUGCUAGUGAAUAGUCCUACCUUUUCUUGAAGCCCUCAUCUACUAUCUGAACGUUGAGCAGACCCCGGGCAUAGAAGGUCUUCACUGACAAGCUGUGACUCGAAUAUAAGCAUAUUCGUUGACUGACACAGCACCCUGAACGCCGUCCUUUAUUACAGCAUCAAAAUUAAGGCAGCCAUGGUUUUAAAUUUUCUAAUUAAAUCAGAACAUCCCAGCCAAGGGAAAGCAAAGCAAAUAAGUAUGUGCAGGGGGGAUGAUUUCAACUACUCGGAUGAUGUUAUAAGAGAGGCCUCCAAAGAGAGGUUUGCUUGACAUGUUUUAACUCGGAUUAAACUUCUCCAUGUGAAGAGAAGUGUUGAGCAGCUGUAUUAUUGGAACACAAACCAUUGCACAGUAACUUGUCAUGAAUCUCUGGAGCAAACUUCAUAACUGUGUGGCCAUCUCCACAAGUUCAGAUUCUUCUUUAUACGAAUUGGUGCCCCAGCAGGAGGUGUGCUAGAAGCUAAAAUGCAAGGGCGAGUUUCUCAGUGAUCCCACAUGCUCUGCUCCUAGUUUCAGCUACACAACAGUUUUUCUUCGCCAAGUCCUCCAACUUUCUCAGCGUAUCAUCAAUCUCAUCUGCCCUUAAACAUGUUUGUUUUAUUUCACUAAUUUUUUUUAUUGUUCUCCAGAUAAUGUUGACAUCUUCUUAUUAACAUUUGUUCAAAAAACUCAAAAAACAAUAGCUCGAUUUGAAUUUUUUUUUCCCAACUAAAACCCAUUUAAGGAAAAUUGAACAUAUCAGGAAACGGAAGAGUCGUAGGGCAGCACAGAGCACAUGCCGAAAAUGCUGCCUGCUUUGAUAAAAGAAAUGAGCCCGCAGAGCUGUUGCUGCAGUGUCGGUGGGUGCUGGUGCUGGGAAAAUGCUCGACGAGGUCGUUUGGAUGUGAAAAUCUUAUCGGUAAUAUCGCAGAGCACAUCCUUAUGGAUCUUUAUGUUCAUUCAAGUCUGACUUUAAUUAUCUGCUUAAAACAUGGACCCUCAAAAAUGGUUUACCCAUUGUUGUGGGCAGGAGGGGGUGUUAGACCACGACAUCUGUAAUAUUUGAAUUAUUUAAUCCAUCUUAGCCGGUUAAAAUUAGAUCUUAUUUAAUCCAUCUUAGCCAGUAAAAAAAAAUAAUAUAUAAAUAUUAUAGGUUAGGGAAGCCAUUAUAAAUAACUCCAGUCUUUAGGAUAAAUAAUAUAUUUUACACUUAAAGUUGUUUCUUAUUCUCUUAAAUCAUUUUCUUUUUUUUAUUCUUUAUUUUUACAGAAAUUAUAGUUAUUCAUUUUAAAGUUUGAUUUGGUGAAGUAACAAUGCAUUUUUCAAUUUCAAUGUUUUCUAGUCGACAACCAGGAUAUCAAGAGAAAACAAAUGGAAAUUUUAAGAAUUUAGAUUAAACUUUUUUUUUUAAUCAAAUCACAAAACUAAAACCACUUAAUAGAUAUUUUUUUCCUAAUUCAUCGUUGUAUGAUAUUACAUCCUAACUGUUUGAUAAAGUAUUUGAUCUUUUAUAUAUAUAUAUAUAUAUGAAAAUAAUGAUAGUUUUUAUAUUGUCUCUUAUAUAUAUAUUUUAAGUGUAUUAUCUAAUUCCAAUAGUUGGAUUGGAUUGCUCGUGUUUCUACAUGACAAAUUCUAUUUCUUUUAGCUUUGGCAUAUAAGAAUUUGUAACCAAAUAAGUCCUUGUUUUAGCCACUGUGUGAAUCGCAUAUAUAAUAACCAAAUAUACUAUUUUCCAUGAUUCUUUCUAAUUGAAUUUUAAGCAGAGUUGUUCGCUUUCAAAAAUAACAAAUUAUAUGAUAUUAUAUCUUAAUAUAAGUAGUACAGUUAACGCAAAACAGCAAGAUCACUAUAAAUAAAUAAAUAAAACAAUAAAAGGAAAAAGAAGUGGAUUUAAUCGGGAUUGUUGAAAUGAAAUAAAAACAGUUAAAUUGAUUUUUUUCAUGAAUCAUUUAAUCCUGAUGUUAAUGAUUUGUUUUUUAUCAAGUAAAAAAUUAAUCUAAUUUGAACAUGUAAAAAAAAAAAAACUAGUAGAGAAUAUUAUCAGCCAUGAAAAAUAAAAAUAAGAAAAACAUGUCUGAGAAGGACGGUCGCUUCGCAUCGAUGAUGACAAUAUUUAUAUCGAUGCCCGUGGCCAUGCACCUUUUCAGCCUACGUUGCCGCCGUUGUUCCUCCUCUCCGCGGCAACCUAGCAACCCUCUGAUAUUAUUUCAUUAUUAGCUGUCAAUAAGAUGGUGAGGGUGGAGGAAAUCAUCACCAAAAGUCAAUGGUUUUCAAUGGCCUGUGUCUUGUCAAAACAGGCUUCGUUUCAAUCCAACUCUUCUUCUUCUUCUUCUUCUAUCAAGUAAUUGAUUUGAUCAUUUUAUUGAUAAAUUAAAAUCAAAUUAAAACUAAGGUUUCCUUGCUCGAUUAUCUUGAAAACAUGUCUAUUACGCAAAGAUUGCUAGCUAUUGAUGGUACUAUAAUUAGUUUUAACAUUUUUCACUUUGAACUAUUUGUACCAUUCAUUGUAUCGGUGCAAUUUUGAUUUUUCCUCUCCGCUUGAAAGAUUAAUACAAAUUUUUAAUGGUAUUAAAGUUUUUUUACAUAGCUCAUUAAUUCUUAUUAAAUUAAUUAAAAAUAAAUAAUUUUUUUCUUGUUUCGUACAUUAAAAUAACUAAAAUAAAAUAUUUAAAAUUCAUUUUGUAUUUUACAUAGAAUGAGAAGAGAGGAGAAGUUUAAAGAGAAAAAGUAAACAAAAUAAUUCUUCUAUUUAAUGGCUUUAAAAAUAAAUAUUAAGGAAGGACUUUUCAUGUAAAGAAAUUUGAACAUCUCGAGUCAAUAUCUUUUUUAGAAUAUUAUAAAUUAUAUUCUAGGAUCUUAUAUAAACAUGUUCACGAGUUCGAAUCUCAUAAUUUUUAUUUAUUUAAUAAAAAUUAAAUAUAAGAUAACUUGAACAUAUACAAGUUUCAAGUUCAAAUGACUUUCACUUAGGCAUAUUAAAAAAUAAUAUAAAUUAUAUCUUGUAACUUUACUUAAAAACUUAAAUUAUUAGAUUGAAAUGAUUAUUUACAUCAUCUCUUUUAAAACUUAAAAUCAACUAAUAAAAAAUAUUUUCGAUAUAUAUAUACACUCCAUAUAGUUAUUCCAUUGAAGAAGCUUCUAAUAUCGACGCAGGGAUACUCUUUAUUCUUUACCAAGAAAAAAACAAAACAAAAAAAAACUACCGACAUGCAGUGGAGGAGUUGAGUGCUAGUGGCCCGAUCCAGCCAGCCAGCUGGUGGCAGAAGAAGGCAAAAAUAGCAUGGCAAAGCAACAUGGAUGUGCCACGUUAGAGUAUCGUGAGACAAGCUAUCUAGCUGUCCAUAAAUAUCAAAUAUGAAUAUGAUUCUUGCAACGCAAAACCGUCGCAUCUACCCCUUCCUUUCCUUUUUGUCGUUUAAUAAAGUGGUGUAGGGUGUUUUAAUUAUUAUUUUUUAAAAAUUAUUUUUAAUUAACAUAUUAAAAUUAUUUAAAAAUAAAAAAAUAUAAAUUUAAAAUAAAAAAAUUAAUUUUAAAAAAAAAUACUUUAAAAAUACAAAAAUUCUCAUACAAAAACACAUUAGUAUUGAUUUAUCAACUUUCAUAACGUGUUGACAAUAAUACUCUUAAAAUUAGUAACAAAAUUUUUAAGAUAAAAUAUAUUAUUGGUAAAUUAGUUGGAAAAUGAUGAUGUGUAAUUAUAUAAAUGAUGUAAUAUAUAUUUUAAUUAUUUUAUUGUAAUAAUAUUUCAUCAAUAAUUCUAAUAAGAUAUUUUCUAUUAGUACAUAAUUAUGUUGAAACUAAACGAUAAAAAUAUAUUAUCACUGUUAUAAUCAGGCAUUAAUGGUGAAAUAAGUUAUUCCGUGGAUAAUUCUAUUGUUAUUUUAUAAAUUUUUGUGACGUUUUACCAUUUAAAUAGUGAUUUAGUGGUAAAAACUUAGGACCAAAAAAUUUGCUUUUUCUAUGGUUUCAGGUUCGAGCCCAUAUAGUUGCUUAUAUGAUAGUCACUGAGGCUUACAUGGUUGUUAAUUUCAAGGCCUGUAAAAUUAGUCGAGGUGUGCACAAACUUCCCCGAGCAUCUAUAUUAAAAAAAAAAAAAAGUGCACCGAUCUUUAUUUUUAUAUUAAGUGACCAAUAUUUAGCGUAGCUUCUCAGCCUAAUAGUUUUGGGAUAAAAAAACAAGUCGAAAGCCAAGACAAACCGAACCUAGAACAUACGUGUGGGACACGUGUACACGUUGGUGGCGCCAGGCAGUGGGGUGGCUCUGGGGCUAUAUAUAACUAACCAGCCUCAAUCUUCGACUUAAUUCAUCUCACAGAGAAGAAAAGCAAUACAUUAUUUUUCAGGAGACUACUUUAGUAGAGAAUUAAUAAGAAGAUCAUGGCAGGGGCAGUUAAAUGCAUAGACAUCUUGAUAGCCAUCAUCUUGCCUCCUCUUGGUGUCUUCCUCAGGUUUGGCUGCGGGGUGGAGUUUUGGAUCUGUUUGCUCCUCACCAUCUUAGGCUACAUCCCUGGAAUUAUUUAUGCUGUCUACGCCAUCACCAAGUGAAGAUCCUUAAUCUCACCAUCUAAAUAUCCCUGCUGCGAGCACCUGCACCUGCACCGCAGCCCCAAAAGCUGUUUCUUUCUCCUUGUUCCUGUAAAGGGUUGUAAAGUAUUUGCGAAAAUAAAGGAUAUAUAUUAUAUAUUAUGACGGUUAAUUUUUUUAAAAUAAAUUUAAUUUGUUGAAAAAAAUGACGUGUUGAGAAAGAUAUCUAGGUGUUGAUAAUUGGAGCACACUACAAGAUAUGAUCUAUUCAUGUGAUAGCUACAUGUGCAUGAUGUAUAUACAUGGAAGCAUGCAUCAGAAAUUGUGGUAGCUAGCCACCGUUCUUAUCAUCUUAGGCUACAUCCCUGGAAUUAUUUAUGCUGUCUACGCCAUCACCAAGUGAAGAUCCUUAAUCUCACCAUCUAAAUAUCCCUGCUGCGAGCACCUGCACCUGCACCGCAGCCCCAAAAGCUGUUUCUUUCUCCUUGUUCCUGUAAAGGGUUGUAAAGUAUUUGCGAAAAUAAAGGAUAUAUAUUAUAUAUUA
This is an RNA transcript of Populus nigra (black poplar), 5411 nucleotides long. It is a transcript of the gene named hydrophobic protein LTI6B, with no coding region annotated. Lineage: Eukaryota; Viridiplantae; Streptophyta; Magnoliopsida; Malpighiales; Salicaceae. The transcript has 5 exons. The record is from RefSeq and is a predicted model, not a curated record.